Molecule: ribosomal RNA, 253 nt
Filed under: uncultured bacterium
Lineage: Bacteria
Description: partial 16S ribosomal RNA
Rfam family: Bacterial small subunit ribosomal RNA
Source: RNAcentral
UACGUAGGGUGCGAGCGUUAAUCGGAAUUACUGGGCGUAAAGCGUGCGCAGGCGGUUCGUUAAGUUCGUUGUGAAAGCCCCGGGCUCAACCUGGGAAUGGCAAUGGAAACUGGCGGGCUGGAGUGUGGCAGAGGGGGGUGGAAUUCCACGUGUAGCAGUGAAAUGCGUAGAGAUGUGGAGGAACACCGAUGGCGAAGGCAGCCCCCUGGGCCAACACUGACGCUCAGGCACGAAAGCGUGGGGAGCAAACAGG